This 497-nucleotide ribosomal RNA is filed under the name uncultured bacterium. RNAcentral describes it as "partial 16S ribosomal RNA". It matches the Rfam family "Bacterial small subunit ribosomal RNA", at positions 28 to 507 of the family's 1533-position model. The record is from RNAcentral.
GAUGAACGCUGGCGGCGUGCCUAAUACAUGCAAGUCGAGCGAACGGACGAGAAGCUUGCUUCUCUGAUGUUAGCGGCGGACGGGUGAGUAACACGUGGAUAACCUACCUAUAAGACUGGGAUAACUUCGGGAAACCGGAGCUAAUACCGGAUGAUAUUUUGAACCGCAUGGUUCAAAAGUGAAAGACGGUCUUGCUGUCACUUAUAGAUGGAUCCGCGCUGCAUUAGCUAGAUGGUAAGGUAACGGCUUACCAAGGCAACGAUGCAUAGCCGACCUGAGAGGGUGAUCGGCCACCAUGGAACUGAGACACGGUCCAGACUCCUACGGGAGGCAGCAGUAGGGAAUCUUCCGCAAUGGGCGAAAGCCUGACGGAGCAACGCCGCGUGAGUGAUGAAGGUCUUCGGAUCGUAAAACUCUGUUAUUAGGGAAGAACAUAUGUGUAAGUAACUGUGCACAUCUUGACGGUACCUAAUCAGAAAGCCACGGCUAACUACGUG